UGCGGUUAAAAAGCUCGUAGUUGGAUCUCGGCAAGUAGAGGGCGGUAUGCUUCGUAGCAUUACUGCCCUAUUACUUGUAGUUUUGCCAGAGGUUCCUGGGUGCUCUUAAUCGAGUGUCUAGGGAUGCUGGCAGGUUUACUUUGAAAAAAUUAGAGUGCUCAAAGCAGGCUAUUACGCUUGAAUAUUCGUGCAUGGAAUAAUAGAAUAGGAAGUUGUUUCUAUUUUGUUGGUUUUCGGAAAUCGACUUAAUGAUUAAUAGGGACAGUCGGGGGCAUUUGUAUUCAAACGACAGAGGUGAAAUUCUUGGACCGUUUGAAGACAAACUACUGCGAAAGCAUUUGCCAAGAAUGUUUUCAUUAAUCAAGAACGAAAGUUAGAGGUUCGAAGGCGAUUAGAUACCGCCCUAGUUCUAACCAUAAACGAUGCCAGCUAGCGAUCUGAGGACGUUUUUUUUGUAGACUCCUCAGGAAGCUUCCGGGAAACCAAAGCGUGUGGGUUCCGGGGGAAGUAUGGUUGCAAAGCUGAAACUUAAAGGAAUUGACGGAAGGGCACCACCAGGAGUGGAGCCUGCGGCCUAAUUUGACUCAACACGGGAAAUCUCACCAGGCCCGGACACUGGAAGGAUUGACAGAUUGAGAGCUCUUUCUCGAUUCGGUGGGUGGUGGUGCAUG
Molecule: ribosomal RNA, 671 nt
Filed under: uncultured marine eukaryote
Lineage: Eukaryota
Description: SSU rRNA
Rfam family: Eukaryotic small subunit ribosomal RNA
Source: RNAcentral